GUUGGAUUCUGAUCAGCCUUUGACCUCGUCUUUAAGGCACAAAUAAUGUGAGCUAGAAUCAGUAAAUCAUUUAUAGGUCAAGCCGGUGUCAAGCCCAUUAACUCCCUCAAAACAAACUCAUUUAAAGCUUGGAAGUUACAUAUUUGUUUUUGGUGCUUUAAAUAAAAAACAUUUUUCCUUUCAGAAAUGCAUUAUCCUGAGGGCUGGUGCACUUCUAAAAUAUCUACCGAA
This 231-nucleotide long non-coding RNA is filed under the name Elaeis guineensis (African oil palm). Its description in RNAcentral is "long non-coding RNA (EGUI_LNC014852)". Lineage: Eukaryota; Viridiplantae; Streptophyta; Magnoliopsida; Arecales; Arecaceae. The record is from RNAcentral.